This 233-nucleotide unclassified non-coding RNA is filed under the name uncultured Entoloma. RNAcentral describes it as "sequence contains ITS1". The record is from RNAcentral. Lineage: Eukaryota; Fungi; Basidiomycota; Agaricomycetes; Agaricales; Entolomataceae.
UUGAAUUAAACUUGGUUGGGUUGUUGCUGGCUCUCUGGAGCAUGUGCACGCUUGAUCAAAUGUUUUUAAACCACCUGUGCACACACUGUAGGCCUGAGAGAUAUUUCGAGGAAACUCGGUUUGAGAACUGCUGAAAAGCUGUUCUUGCAUUUUGGGUCUAUGUUUUAAACACAUCCUCUAUAAACAAGUAAUAGAAUGUUAAUUAUUGGCCUUUUGUGCCUUUAAACCUAAUA